AACGAACGCUGGCGGCAUGCCUAACACAUGCAAGUCGAACGAGACCUUCGGGUAUAGUGGCGCACGGGUGCGUAACGCGUGGGAACCUGCCCUUAGGUUCGGAAUAACUCCCCGAAAGGGGUGCUAAUACCGGAUAAUUUCUUCGGACCAAAGAUUUAUCGCCUUUGGAUGGGCCCGCGUUGGAUUAGCUAGUUGGUAGGGUAAAAGCCUACCAAGGCGACGAUCCAUAGCUGGUCUGAGAGGAUGAUCAGCCACACUGGGACUGAGACACGGCCCAGACUCCUACGGGAGGCAGCAGUGGGGAAUAUUGGACAAUGGGCGAAAGCCUGAUCCAGCAAUGCCGCGUGAGUGAUGAAGGCCUUAGGGUUGUAAAGCUCUUUUACCCGGGAUGAUAAUGACAGUACCGGGAGAAUAAGCUCCGGCUAACUCCGUG
RNAcentral lists this ribosomal RNA (433 nucleotides) under uncultured bacterium. RNAcentral describes it as "partial 16S ribosomal RNA". It matches the Rfam family "Bacterial small subunit ribosomal RNA", at positions 29 to 507 of the family's 1533-position model. The record is from RNAcentral.